Non-coding RNA from Fukomys damarensis (Damara mole-rat), 63 nucleotides. Lineage: Eukaryota; Metazoa; Chordata; Mammalia; Rodentia; Bathyergidae. The record is from Rfam.
GGAGAUUUAGCUCAGUGGUAGAGCACUUGCCUAGGAAGCAUGAAGCCCUGGGUUCAGUCUUCA